UGAGGAAUAUUGGUCAAUGGGCGGGAGCCUGAACCAGCCAAGCCGCGUGAGGGAUGAAGGCCCUAUGGGUCGUAAACCUCUUUUGUCAGGGAACAAAAGCGAGUAUGUAUACUAGUCUGAGUGUACCUGAAGAAAAAGCAUCGGCUAACUCCGUGCCAGCAGCCGCGGUAAUACGGAGGAUGCGAGCGUUAUCCGGAUUUAUUGGGUUUAAAGGGUGCGUAGGCGGCGAUGCAAGUCAGCGGUAAAAGCCCGGGGCUCAACCCCGGCGAGCCGUUGAAACUGCAGUGCUAGAGAAGGCGAGAGGUACGCGGAAUGCGCAGUGUAGCGGUGAAAUGCUUAGAUAUUGCGCAGAACUCCGAUUGCGAAGGCAGCGUACUGGCGCCUGACUGACGCUGAGGCACGAAAGCGUGGGGAUCGAACAGGUUAGAUACC
This 432-nucleotide ribosomal RNA is filed under the name uncultured bacterium. RNAcentral describes it as "bacterial SSU rRNA". It matches the Rfam family "Bacterial small subunit ribosomal RNA", at positions 355 to 786 of the family's 1533-position model. The record is from RNAcentral.